GCGUGCGUAGGCGGUUAGAUAAGUCUUUGGUUAAAUCAUGGGGCUCAACUCCAUGACUGCCAAGGAUACUGUCUGACUUGAGACUGGAAGAGGUAAGCGGAAUUGCUGGUGGAGGGGUUAAAUCCGUUGAUAUCAGCAAGAACACCAAAGGCGAAGGCAGCUUACUGGGACAGUUCUGACGCUGUUGCACGAAAGCGUGGGUAGCGAAUAGGAUUAGAUACCCUAGUAGUCCACGCCGUAAACGAUGGAUACUAGGCAUUGGCAGUAUCGACCCUGUCAGUGCCGUUUACAUAAGCUAACGCGUUAAGUAUCCCGCCUGGGGAGCACGGCCGCAAGGCUAAAACUCAAAGGAAUUGACGGGGACCCGCACAAGCGGUGGAGCAUGUGGUUUAAUUCGACAAUAAGCGAGGAACCUCACCAAGGCUUGACAUCUAGCUGCAAACUCAGGGAAACUUGAGCUUCUUCGAGAGUGCUAGACAGGUGCUGCAUGGUUGUCGUCAGCUCGUGUCGUGAGAUGUACGGUUAAGUCCGGAAACGAGCGCAACCCCUAUCGUAUGUUACAUUUUCAUACGAGACUGCCCCGGUUAACGGGGAGGAAGGUGGGGAUGACGUCAAAUCAGCAUGGCCCUUACGCCUUGGGCUACACACGUGCUACAAUGGCCGGUACAAUGGGCCGCCAAAUCGAAAGAUGGAGCUAAUCCCACAAAACCGGUCUCAGUUCGGAUUGAGGGCUGCAACUCGCCCUCAUGAAGCUGGAAUCGCUAGUAAACGCAUAUCAGCCACGGUGCGUUGAAUACGUUCUCGGGUC
Molecule: ribosomal RNA, 808 nt
Filed under: uncultured bacterium
Lineage: Bacteria
Description: bacterial SSU rRNA
Rfam family: Bacterial small subunit ribosomal RNA
Source: RNAcentral